CAGGGACUUGCUGGUUUGGAUGGAUUGUUGGGGGUUGAAGGAAACGAAGGAGAUAAUGGUGAUAUUGGUUACAGAGGAACCCCUGGUCUGCCAGGGAAGAUGGGUCGGACGAACUGGAUUGAGUGGUGGUCAUGGAGCACCAGGGUCAAAAGGGUCAAAGGUACGACCUGUGUUUGACCAAUUGAGAUACCCAACGCAGGUACUCUUCAGUGCAUGCACAUAGAGCUUGUCACGCCCUGGCCAUAGAGAGGUUUUUAUUCUCUAUUCUGGUUAGGCCAGGGUGUGAUUAGGGUGGGCAUUCUAUGUUUCUAUUUCUUUGUUUUUGGCCGAGUGUGGUUCCCAAUCAGAGGCAGCUGUCUAUCGUCUCUGAUUGGGAAUCAUACUUAGGCAGCCUUUUCCCCACCUGUGUUUUGUGGGUAGUUGUUUUCUGUUUUGUUUCUGCACCUGACAGAACUGUUUCGUUUUGUUCUAUUUUGUUUCAGUUUUCAGUUUGAUUAAAUAUCAUGAACACUUACCACGCUGCACCUUGGUCUCCUUCUACUUCAUAGGAUGAGCGUUACAGAGCUAUUUGGCCAAAACUCUUUAUUUUGCCAUGGUUUACAUUCAGAACAUUCCACCAAUGUUUUGUCAAGGGUAAACUUGGAUCUAAAGGAAAACGAGCACCUGCAGGGCCAAUGGGGCAAAGGGUAAAGCAAUACAUUUGAAACCUUUACAUUCAUGGUUGAUUGUAAAUCCCUGUCUAUAUUCUCAGGCAUUUUUCAUAUGCUUGACAACCAAGCUCUCUGGUAUUGCUAUUUUGCAUUGGGUAUUCCAGGGCUUGGAGGAGAGAAGGGGACAUUUGGCCAGCAUGGCUCAAAGGUGCUGUAUAGGUCUCAAUACUCAAUAACAUCUAUGUUAGAGUAAAAGAACAGUAUUCGUUUUCUAUGGUGCCAUAUCAUCGCUCCUUUAUAUCUGUUCUCCUCUCAGGGUCAGGCUGGGGGCAGAGGCCUACAGGGACAUAUUGGACCACGUGGAGUUAAAGUAUGCUGGAAUAAAGUUGGAAAUCAAUCAACAACACCUCACAAUUAGACAGCAGAUGACAUUGCUGUCUUUUAUUUAGGGGAAUGCAGGACUGCAAGGGAAUAAAGGGUGGCUAGAUCCAAAAGGCAUACAUGUUAUCUUGUGGAAUCUCUUUUCCAUAUGAGUUAAUGGAAUCAUAUCCUGAUACAUUUUGAUAACGGUAUCAGAACAAUAUUUCUUAUCAGUUUAUGUCAGUGCAUUGGUAGUUUAUAGGGAGACAUUGGUCCUCGCAGUCCACCUGGGAAAAAGGGCUCCCCUGGUCAACCUGUAUAUUUUGUCAAUAUUUCACAAACCUUUUCAGUUUGCUACAAUUAUGACAUUUUGAAGUCUUGUUUGAUCAAUGUUUCUUUUUAUUUUUCAGUGUCUUCUUGGAAAGAGAGUUAGUAACCAUUUGGCAUUCUAAUGUCUAUUGUUGGGGAUAUUUCCAUGGUUUACAUCUCAAUCUAUCAUGCUCUUUGCAGGGAAUGAAAGGGAUACAAGGAAUGCCUGGAGCUAAGGGAGUGAGAGGUCGGCGUGGACUACCAGGGAAACCAGGUCCUCCUGGCCGUCCAAGAAAUAUGCGACCUGAAUCCCUUGGAAAAAUAAUAAGAUUUUAAGAACAAUACCGGACCAUGGCCAGGAGAACGCUUGACUCAUUCCCUGACCAUCACUCAAGCAGCUCCUUCAGCUGGCAUCGGGGCACCAAAGACAGCCCUGCAACGAGCUGGGGCUGAUUCAUCCACACCUGCAGGAUGGAAACCUUUACGUGGACCCUAACCAGGGCUGCCCAUUUGAUGCCCUGCAAGCGUUCUGUAACUUCACUGCAGGAGGGUUGACCUGUAUACCUCCUGUGCUGUCACAAUUUAAGUAUGCCGAUCUUGAUGCGGUCCAGCUCCGGUUUCUACGGUUACACAGCCACUUUGCCGCUCAGCGCCUGACCAUCGCCUGCCCUGUUAACCAUACUAGCAGAGCAAUCAGGAAAAAUACAACAAACAGGGUUCUUCACUUUCUGGGAGACUCCGGUGUGGAGAUUGGCUCAAACUAUAUGAGAGUAUCGAGGAAUGGUUGAAUGGAGGUACGAGUAUGGGGGAGCACAGAGAUCCAUAGAGGGGACUUGGAGCUGUUGCCCCUCAGGGACGUUAGUGUGGAGGGAAAGGGAGAACUGGGACACAGACCUCAGAGCUCUCCUGGGACCUUUGCUUUUUGUAGCCUCCGUUUAUUCAGAGAGAAGCAGCAAGCACUGCUCAGUGUAUGGGUCAAGAUCAUUUGGCUGCAAUUCUUCAUCAGGACAAAAAGAUCUCAUGUUGUUUGUUCGCUGUAGCGCUUAUGUAUAAUUGCGAUAACAACUAGCUGUACUGUAUAAUGAAAUAUGUAUUUCUGAGUGUGAUAUAGUGUUAUAAUAUGUGUAUUUUAUAAAGAAAAAUAUAUAUACCUGUUGUAUUCAUCUCCUGCUUAUUGAUAAAAAAAAUCAUUUAAAAAAUCA
Molecule: long non-coding RNA, 2521 nt
Organism: Salvelinus fontinalis (brook trout)
Lineage: Eukaryota; Metazoa; Chordata; Actinopteri; Salmoniformes; Salmonidae
Exons: 8
Source: RefSeq, a predicted model, not a curated record